Molecule: ribosomal RNA, 2930 nt
Filed under: Escherichia coli O22:H8
Lineage: Bacteria; Pseudomonadati; Pseudomonadota; Gammaproteobacteria; Enterobacterales; Enterobacteriaceae
Description: 23S ribosomal RNA
Rfam family: Bacterial large subunit ribosomal RNA
Source: RNAcentral
GGGUUGUGAGGUUAAGCGACUAAGCGUACACGGUGGAUGCCCUGGCAGUCAGAGGCGAUGAAGGACGUGCUAAUCUGCGAUAAGCGUCGGUAAGGUGAUAUGAACCGUUAUAACCGGCGAUUUCCGAAUGGGGAAACCCAGUGUGAUUCGUCACACUAUCAUUAACUGAAUCCAUAGGUUAAUGAGGCGAACCGGGGGAACUGAAACAUCUAAGUACCCCGAGGAAAAGAAAUCAACCGAGAUUCCCCCAGUAGCGGCGAGCGAACGGGGAGCAGCCCAGAGCCUGAAUCAGUGUGUGUGUUAGUGGAAGCGUCUGGAAAGGCGCGCGAUACAGGGUGACAGCCCCGUACACAAAAAUGCACAUGCUGUGAGCUCGAUGAGUAGGGCGGGACACGUGGUAUCCUGUCUGAAUAUGGGGGACCAUCCUCCAAGGCUAAAUACUCCUGACUGACCGAUAGUGAACCAGUACCGUGAGGGAAAGGCGAAAAGAACCCCGGCGAGGGGAGUGAAAAAGAACCUGAAACCGUGUACGUACAAGCAGUGGGAGCACGCUUAGGCGUGUGACUGCGUACCUUUUGUAUAAUGGGUCAGCGACUUAUAUUCUGUAGCAAGGUUAACCGAAUAGGGGAGCCGAAGGGAAACCGAGUCUUAACUGGGCGUUAAGUUGCAGGGUAUAGACCCGAAACCCGGUGAUCUAGCCAUGGGCAGGUUGAAGGUUGGGUAACACUAACUGGAGGACCGAACCGACUAAUGUUGAAAAAUUAGCGGAUGACUUGUGGCUGGGGGUGAAAGGCCAAUCAAACCGGGAGAUAGCUGGUUCUCCCCGAAAGCUAUUUAGGUAGCGCCUCGUGAAUUCAUCUCCGGGGGUAGAGCACUGUUUCGGCAAGGGGGUCAUCCCGACUUACCAACCCGAUGCAAACUGCGAAUACCGGAGAAUGUUAUCACGGGAGACACACGGCGGGUGCUAACGUCCGUCGUGAAGAGGGAAACAACCCAGACCGCCAGCUAAGGUCCCAAAGUCAUGGUUAAGUGGGAAACGAUGUGGGAAGGCCCAGACAGCCAGGAUGUUGGCUUAGAAGCAGCCAUCAUUUAAAGAAAGCGUAAUAGCUCACUGGUCGAGUCGGCCUGCGCGGAAGAUGUAACGGGGCUAAACCAUGCACCGAAGCUGCGGCAGCGACGCUUAUGUGUUGUUGGGUAGGGGAGCGUUCUGUAAGCCUGCGAAGGUGUGCUGUGAGGCAUGCUGGAGGUAUCAGAAGUGCGAAUGCUGACAUAAGUAACGAUAAAGCGGGUGAAAAGCCCGCUCGCCGGAAGACCAAGGGUUCCUGUCCAACGUUAAUCGGGGCAGGGUGAGUCGACCCCUAAGGCGAGGCCGAAAGGCGUAGUCGAUGGGAAACAGGUUAAUAUUCCUGUACUUGGUGUUACUGCGAAGGGGGGACGGAGAAGGCUAUGUUGGCCGGGCGACGGUUGUCCCGGUUUAAGCGUGUAGGCUGGUUUUCCAGGCAAAUCCGGAAAACUAAGGCUGAGGCGUGAUGACGAGGCACUACGGUGCUGAAGCAACAAAUGCCCUGCUUCCAGGAAAAGCCUCUAAGCAUCAGGUAACAUCAAAUCGUACCCCAAACCGACACAGGUGGUCAGGUAGAGAAUACCAAGGCGCUUGAGAGAACUCGGGUGAAGGAACUAGGCAAAAUGGUGCCGUAACUUCGGGAGAAGGCACGCUGAUAUGUAGGUGAAGUCCCUCGCGGAUGGAGCUGAAAUCAGUCGAAGAUACCAGCUGGCUGCAACUGUUUAUUAAAAACACAGCACUGUGCAAACACGAAAGUGGACGUAUACGGUGUGACGCCUGCCCGGUGCCGGAAGGUUAAUUGAUGGGGUCAGCGCAAGCGAAGCUCUUGAUCGAAGCCCCGGUAAACGGCGGCCGUAACUAUAACGGUCCUAAGGUAGCGAAAUUCCUUGUCGGGUAAGUUCCGACCUGCACGAAUGGCGUAAUGAUGGCCAGGCUGUCUCCACCCGAGACUCAGUGAAAUUGAACUCGCUGUGAAGAUGCAGUGUACCCGCGGCAAGACGGAAAGACCCCGUGAACCUUUACUAUAGCUUGACACUGAACAUUGAGCCUUGAUGUGUAGGAUAGGUGGGAGGCUUUGAAGUGUGGACGCCAGUCUGCAUGGAGCCGACCUUGAAAUACCACCCUUUAAUGUUUGAUGUUCUAACGUUGACCCGUGAUCCGGGUUGCGGACAGUGUCUGGUGGGUAGUUUGACUGGGGCGGUCUCCUCCUAAAGAGUAACGGAGGAGCACGAAGGUUGGCUAAUCCUGGUCGGACAUCAGGAGGUUAGUGCAAUGGCAUAAGCCAGCUUGACUGCGAGCGUGACGGCGCGAGCAGGUGCGAAAGCAGGUCAUAGUGAUCCGGUGGUUCUGAAUGGAAGGGCCAUCGCUCAACGGAUAAAAGGUACUCCGGGGAUAACAGGCUGAUACCGCCCAAGAGUUCAUAUCGACGGCGGUGUUUGGCACCUCGAUGUCGGCUCAUCACAUCCUGGGGCUGAAGUAGGUCCCAAGGGUAUGGCUGUUCGCCAUUUAAAGUGGUACGCGAGCUGGGUUUAGAACGUCGUGAGACAGUUCGGUCCCUAUCUGCCGUGGGCGCUGGAGAACUGAGGGGGGCUGCUCCUAGUACGAGAGGACCGGAGUGGACGCAUCACUGGUGUUCGGGUUGUCAUGCCAAUGGCACUGCCCGGUAGCUAAAUGCGGAAGAGAUAAGUGCUGAAAGCAUCUAAGCACGAAACUUGCCCCGAGAUGAGUUCUCCCUGACUCCUUGAGAGUCCUGAAGGAACGUUGAAGACGACGACGUUGAUAGGCCGGGUGUGUAAGCGCAGCGAUGCGUUGAGCUAACCGGUACUAAUGAACCGUGAGGCUUAACCUUACAACGCCGAAGGUGUUU